AGUCAUCGUUUACAUGACGAAGGAUCUGUUUUAUUAAACAUUCGUCGUCUUCUCGUGUGACGGCCUGGUUUGUAGCUGUAGCAUGCGCACAUUGGAAGAGCGCUUAAACGUGGACUUGCUGGACUGAUACAACACUAUUCGCCAGCAAUAAAGAGCCAUGUUCGGUAGCCUUUCGUGACUUGUGGCGUAACCUCAUGCAACGUCGAGUGCAAUACUCCCUCUCCCCGCUGCACAAAUGAACCCACCGGCGUGUUUUUUUUCCCCCUGCAUUUCUACCAUAAAAAUGGAGCCCAUCUGGACUGCAUUACUUACAUGCGACUCUGCUGUGAAAAGCAAAAUUUGGCAGCUUGAGAUGUAAACAAAUCUCAGACUGCUGUUGGAUUUAGCGGUGAUUUGAUUGACGGUUAUCGUUGGAAAUCAGAAGCUUAAUGUUGGACGCAGGUGGUUCUGUUCUCCUGCAUGCAAAUCACUUUUGUCUCUGUACAGAACGGCUUUCUCUUUUUAGCUGUGGUUAACAUUCGUUGCCUUAAUUAACAGUGACCUUUGUUGUGUCCUCCUGUUCACUGUGAUGUGCUUGUGCCCUGUUCUGUCACUGUAAUGUUAACGUUGAGUGGCACUGCAGGGGAAACUUGGCCCUGUCCGUGUGUGAAUACAUGUCAAAGAUUUUUAGCACCUUAUUAAAAAAUAUGUUUUUAAAAGCAA
Molecule: long non-coding RNA, 702 nt
Organism: Danio aesculapii
Lineage: Eukaryota; Metazoa; Chordata; Actinopteri; Cypriniformes; Danionidae
Exons: 2
Source: RefSeq, a predicted model, not a curated record